This 301-nucleotide ribosomal RNA is filed under the name uncultured bacterium. Its description in RNAcentral is "partial 16S ribosomal RNA". It matches the Rfam family "Bacterial small subunit ribosomal RNA", at positions 509 to 807 of the family's 1533-position model. The record is from RNAcentral.
CAGCAGCCGCGGUAACACGUAGGUGGCAAGCGUUGUCCGGAAUUAUUGGGCGUAAAGGGCUCGCAGGCGGUUUCUUAAGUCUGAUGUGAAAGCCCCCGGCUCAACCGGGGAGGGUCAUUGGAAACUGGGAAACUUGAGUGCAGAAGAGGAGAGUGGAAUUCCACGUGUAGCGGUGAAAUGCGUAGAGAUGUGGAGGAACACCAGUGGCGAAGGCGACUCUCUGGUCUGUAACUGACGCUGAGGAGCGAAAGCGUGGGGAGCGAACAGGAUUAGAUACCCGUGUAGUCCCUGUCUCUUAUAC